Molecule: ribosomal RNA, 253 nt
Filed under: uncultured bacterium
Lineage: Bacteria
Description: partial 16S ribosomal RNA
Rfam family: Bacterial small subunit ribosomal RNA
Source: RNAcentral
UACGGAGGAUCCAAGCGUUAUCCGGAAUCAUUGGGUUUAAAGGGUCCGUAGGCGGUUUAAUAAGUCAGUGGUGAAAGCCCAUCGCUCAACGGUGGAACGGCCGUUGAUACUGUUAAACUUGAAUUAUUAGGAAGUAACUAGAAUAUGUAGUGUAGCGGUGAAAUGCUUAGAGAUUACAUGGAAUACCAAUUGCGAAGGCAGGUUACUACUAAUGGAUUGACGCUGAUGGACGAAAGCGUGGGUAGCGAACAGG